GAAUGCUGACAUAAGUAACGAUAAAGCGGGUGAAAAGCCCGCUCGCCGGAAGACCAAGGGUUCCUGUCCAACGUUAAUCGGGGCAGGGUGAGUCGACCCCUAAGGCGAGGCCGAAAGGCGUAGUCGAUGGGAAACAGGUUAAUAUUCCUGUACUUGGUGUUACUGCGAAGGGGGGACGGAGAAGGCUAUGUUGGCCGGGCGACGGUUGUCCCGGUUUAAGCGUGUAGGUGUGUGUUCCAGGUAAAUCCGGUUCACUUUAACACUGAGGCGUGACGACGAGGCACUACGGUGCUGAAGCAACAAAUGCCCUGCUUCCAGGAAAAGCCUCUAAGCAUCAGGUAACAUCAAAUCGUACCCCAAACCGACACAGGUGGUCAGGUAGAGAAUACCAAGGCGCUUGAGAGAACUCGGGUGAAGGAACUAGGCAAAAUGGUGCCGUAACUUCGGGAGAAGGCACGCUGACAUGUAGGUGAAGUGAUUUACUCAUGGAGCUGAAGUCAGUCGAAGAUACCAGCUGGCUGCAACUGUUUAUUAAAAACACAGCACUGUGCAAACACGAAAGUGGACGUAUACGGUGUGACGCCUGCCCGGUGCCGGAAGGUUAAUUGAUGGGGUCAGCGCAAGCGAAGCUCCUGAUCGAAGCCCCGGUAAACGGCGGCCGUAACUAUAACGGUCCUAAGGUAGCGAAAUUCCUUGUCGGGUAAGUUCCGACCUGCACGAAUGGCGUAAUGAUGGCCAGGCUGUCUCCACCCGAGACUCAGUGAAAUUGAACUCGCUGUGAAGAUGCAGUGUACCCGCGGCAAGACGGAAAGACCCCGUGAACCUUUACUAUAGCUUGACACUGAACAUUGAGCCUUGAUGUGUAGGAUAGGUGGGAGGCUUUGAAGCGUGGACGCCAGUCUGCGUGGAGCCAACCUUGAAAUACCACCCUUUAAUGUUUGAUGUUCUAACGUGGACCCGUAAUCCGGGUUGCGGACAGUGUCUGGUGGGUAGUUUGACUGGGGCGGUCUCCUCCUAAAGAGUAACGGAGGAGCACGAAGGUUGGCUAAUCCUGGUCGGACAUCAGGAGGUUAGUGCAAUGGCAUAAGCCAGCUUGACUGCGAGCGUGACGGCGCGAGCAGGUGCGAAAGCAGGUCAUAGUGAUCCGGUGGUUCUGAAUGGAAGGGCCAUCGCUCAACGGAUAAAAGGUACUCCGGGGAUAACAGGCUGAUACCGCCCAAGAGUUCAUAUCGACGGCGGUGUUUGGCACCUCGAUGUCGGCUCAUCACAUCCUGGGGCUGAAGUAGGUCCCAAGGGUAUGGCUGUUCGCCAUUUAAAGUGGUACGCGAGCUGGGUUUAGAACGUCGUGAGACAGUUCGGUCC
This 1362-nucleotide ribosomal RNA is filed under the name Salmonella enterica subsp. salamae. Its description in RNAcentral is "partial 23S ribosomal RNA". It matches the Rfam family "Bacterial large subunit ribosomal RNA", at positions 1292 to 2637 of the family's 2925-position model. The record is from RNAcentral. Lineage: Bacteria; Pseudomonadati; Pseudomonadota; Gammaproteobacteria; Enterobacterales; Enterobacteriaceae.